GACGAACCGUGCGAACGUUGUUCGGAUUCACUGGGCUUAAAGGGCGCGUAGGCGGGCGGUCAAGUCGGGGGUGAAAUCUUUCAGCUUAACUGGAAAAGUGCCUCCGAUACUGAUCGUCUUGAGGGAGAUAGGGGCAUGUGGAACUUCCGGUGGAGCGGUGAAAUGCGUAGAUAUCGGAAGGAACGCCGGUGGCGAAAGCGACGUGCUGGACCUCUUCUGACGCUGAGGCGCGAAAGCUAGGGGAGCAAACGGG
Molecule: ribosomal RNA, 253 nt
Filed under: uncultured bacterium
Lineage: Bacteria
Description: partial 16S ribosomal RNA
Rfam family: Bacterial small subunit ribosomal RNA
Source: RNAcentral